This 251-nucleotide ribosomal RNA is filed under the name uncultured prokaryote. RNAcentral's name for it is "partial 16S rRNA". It matches the Rfam family "Bacterial small subunit ribosomal RNA", at positions 525 to 775 of the family's 1533-position model. The record is from RNAcentral.
ACGGAGGAUGCAAGCGUUAUCCGGAUUCAUUGGGUUUAAAGGGUGCGUAGGCGGGAUAAUAAGUCAGUGGUGAAAGCCUACAGCUUAACUGUAGAACUGCCAUUGAUACUGUUAACCUUGAGUACAAUUGAAGUGGGCGGAAUGUGUCAUGUAGCGGUGAAAUGCUUAGAUAUGACACAGAACACCGAUAGCGAAGGCAGCUCACUAAACUGUAACUGACGCUGAGGCACGAAAGCGUGGGGAUCAAACAG